RNAcentral lists this ribosomal RNA (251 nucleotides) under uncultured prokaryote. Its description in RNAcentral is "partial 16S rRNA". It matches the Rfam family "Bacterial small subunit ribosomal RNA", at positions 525 to 775 of the family's 1533-position model. The record is from RNAcentral.
ACGUAGGGAGCAAGCGUUGUCCGGAAUUACUGGGCGUAAAGGGUGCGUAGGUGGCCAUGCAAGUCAGAUGUGAAAUCCCCGGGCUUAACUCGGGUGCUGCAUUUGAAACUGCGUGGCUUGAGUGCAGGAGAGGAAAGCGGAAUUCCUAGUGUAGCGGUGAAAUGCGUAGAUAUUAGGAGGAACACCAGUGGCGAAGGCGGCUUUCUGGACUGUAACUGACACUGAGGCACGAAAGCGUGGGGAGCAAACAG